Molecule: long non-coding RNA, 7238 nt
Filed under: Theobroma cacao (cacao)
Lineage: Eukaryota; Viridiplantae; Streptophyta; Magnoliopsida; Malvales; Malvaceae
Description: long non-coding RNA (TCAC_LNC002723)
Source: RNAcentral
UAGCAAGUGAUAAAACCAUCCCUUGAAACCCUGGCCUGUUUCUUUUUCUUCCUCGUCUGGCUAGGACUCUAACCGAGCCGCACCACCUCUCUCCCACGAUGGUUCCUGGGUUUCUCUCCCGGCCUUCCUUUUCACUUGCCUUAGCUUGUUUUAGACGCCAACCAAACGAAAUAGCGUCUUUUCAACGCCAAAUUGCCCAACACUAUAAAAACCGUUCCCUUUACUCACAAAAUCUUAGAUCUCAGAUUUCAGAUAUCAAAUCUCAGAUCGUUUCUUACUCUCUUUGAAGAAAUUGUGUUGCGAUGGCUGAUUUUCGUCUUCAAGACCUUUGUCAACCUCAACUCACACAAAUCGCUGCUGAAAAUACCAAAGCAGUUGCAGAAGAAUACUUUAAGUUGGGAAAUAUCAACAAGGCCAUCCAAUAAGGAUUCGCAGCACUUGAUUUGAACCCUGAGUUACGAAUGGUCCAAAAAUGCACUGCAGCUUAUCUUGUUCACAAGUUUGAUUUGAUGCUAUGCUUUUGCCAGAAGAUGAAGAUGGACGAUACUGAAGUCCUAUAUUCGAUUCUUUUUAUCGAAGAUUGUUCUGCCGUAGUUGAUGCUGCGACUAUUAGAAAACACUACAAGGAAGUGGUACUAUUGGUCCAUCCGGACAAGAAUGAUUCAGUUGCAGCAGAUGGUGCUUUCAAGAUCGUUCGUCAGGCUUGGGAAACUCUCUUAUCUGAUCACAAAAAAAGAAGAAAGACUCGAUGAGGAUGAAGUUUUUUGGUUUGGAUUAGAUUCAUUUUGAAUGUAUUCAAAUUUUUUUAUGAAUAAUAUGUAGUUAGUUUUUAUUUUGUUCUGAUUUUGUUACUUUUUUUAGAUUCAAUUUGAUUUUGAUUUUUAGUGUCAGUCCAAUUUCAUAAUUGAUCACAAUUAUGAUUAAGCAUUCCAAGUUGAAAUGCUACCAUCAUCAAUCCAUAAUAUAAUAUACAGAGUAAAUUGAAGCAAAUUAUUUGAAGAAUAUUCUGUUGUGGGUUUUUUUAGGGGUGAUAGUUUGUUGAUUAUUCAUUAUCUCAAUGUCAAUUCUUUUUUUUUUGGCNAUACAUCAUUAUAUUUCUUUUUCUGUAACUAAUUUAUAACAAUAAUAAUCUUAAAAAUUAUUAAAAUUAAUAAACAAUUCUUGAUUCUACUAAUUUAAAUUUUUUAUACAAAACUUUUAACAUCAAUUGUUCAUAAAAUUUACAAAUCUGUCGUGUAUAGUCUGUAUUUUUCUAAUUUUAUAAAUGAAAAUAAAAAACUACAAAAGUAGUAUGUUAUAACGAUUAAAUACCUUUAAUUAUAAUUAUUCUCAAUCAUAAUUUCUUAUUGCAAUGAAUACCAAAUUGAAUUUUGGUUCAAGAAAGAUAAGAUGCAUUUUGAGUAGAAAUUUUAAAUUCAAAUCAUAGAGUUCAUCACGUGAAAAAGAAAAAAAAAAUUUUUUGAAUAAUUUUGAGAGAAAAUGACGUCGUUUGUUGUUAGUCACUUGAAAUGAGUGAAAUGACGUCGUUCCUUCUUAAUGCUUAUUUCCCUCCUGCCACACGGUGUCGUUUUAGCAAGUGAUAAAACCAUCCCUUGAAACCCUGGCCUGUUUCUUUUUCUUCCUCGUCUGGCUAGGACUCUAACCGAGCCGCACCACCUCUCUCCCACGAUGGUUCCUGGGUUUCUCUCUCGACCGUCCUUUUCACUUGCCUUAGCUUGUUUUAGACGCCAACCAAACGAAAUAGCGUCUUUUCAACGCCAAAUUGCCCAACACUAUAAAAACCGUUCCCUUUACUCACAAAAUCUUAGAUCUCAGAUUUCAGAUAUCAAAUCUCAGAUCGUUUCUUACUCUCUUUGAAGAAAUUGUGUUGCGAUGGCUGAUUUUCGUCUCCAAGGUCUUUGUCAAUCUCAAUUCACAGAGAUUGCUGCUGAAAGAGCUAAAGUAGCUGCAGAGGAAUAUUUCAAGUCGGGAAACAUCGACAGAGCUAUUCAGCAAGGGUUCGCAGCACUCGAUUUGAACCCCAAUUUACGGAUCGUGCAGAAGUACAUUGCCGCCUAUUUGAUUCACAAGUUUGCUUCUAUGUUAAGUCUUUGCCAGAAAAUGAAGGUAGACGAUACCAAAGUUCUGUACUCCAUUCUUUUUAUCGAAGAUUGUUCUGCCGUAGUUGAUGCUGCGACUAUUAGAAAACACUACAAGGAAGUGGUACUAUUGGUCCAUCCGGACAAGAAUGAUUCAGUUGCAGCAGAUGGUGCUUUCAAGAUCGUUCGUCAGGCUUGGGAAACUCUCUUAUCUGAUCGCAACAAAAGAAGAAAGACUCGAUGAGGAUGAAGUUUUUUGGUUUGGAUUAGAUUCAUUUUGAUAUGUAUUCAAAUUUUUUAUGAAUAACAUGUAGUUAGUUUUUAUUUUGUUCUGAUUUGGUUACUUUGUUGAGAUUCAAUUUGAUUUUGAUUUUUAGUGUCAGUCCAAUUUCAUAAUUGAUCACAAUUAUGAUUAAGCAUUCCAAGUUAAAAUGCUACCAUCAUCAAUCCAUAAUAUAAUAUACAGAGUAAAUUGAAGCAAAUUAUUUGAAGAAUAUUCUGAUGUGGGUUUUUUAGGCAAUGAACGUUUUCUUUAAGCUUUCAGAUUUUAUUUUGUUAAAAUAAAUUUCUUUGUGUUAUAUAUUUUGUAAGUCUCUUUCGUUAGCUUGAAAUUGAAUUCUGGGUUCAAGAGGUUAUUGUAUUAAGUAACUAUGUGUUUUGCUUGCUUCAGUGUUUGUAUCGGUGCUGCAGUUAUUCACUUUCCUUCUGAUUUGAUACAAUCAAACUAAAAAAAAGAAGGAAAAAAAUUUUUUUUCACAAAAGUUACUAUAAUAUUUUUCUUUUUAUGGGUGAUAGUUUGUUGAUUAUUCAUUAUUUCAGUGUCAAUUCUUUAUUUUUGGCUUAAGUUAAACAGGCAUUGAAAAACCAAUACUUGCUUGCAAAAGAAGAACCAUAUCAGUUCUACGUGCCUUUUGAUUCUUCAAUUGUUAUCAAAUGCUUGCUCAUGUUGUCCAGAUGUUCCCAAAUGAUGUUUCCUUGGGCGAUAUCAUUGACGCUGCAAAGUCUUUCAGGUUUGUUAUUCGGUUUUUCUCACUUAGAGGUUGAAUCACAAUUUAUCAUAUGUUUAUUUUUGCAUAAGUGUGCAUGUGUAGUAGUAUAAGGCUGUUAAAGGGAAUAUAAUUUGUCAGUUUUUAUACAUAGCAAACCCUAAGUGUGAUUUCUUGGAAAAGCAGAAGUCCAAUAAUGGACUAUACACGUUCCUCUUUUAUCAUUACUCAUAUCUUAGCCUAAAUUACUCUUGUUGUUUCUGUGCUAAAAGUAAUGCUGCUAAUAUCUAGUUCUGGCCAACUUUUGCUGAGCUGUUUGCAAUAAUUGUUGUAUACGCAUUUAUGUAAAGGUACAUUUUUUCUUGGGCCUUAAUUCACUUACCAUGUAGUUCUCUCCUGAAUCAUGUUUCUGUCCCAUUUAUAAAUGUUAGGCUAUGAUUUGAAUUGCCUUGUUAAGGAAGCAUUAUCUAUUGAAAUGUUGCUGGCAGCUAUCCUCUAACUUAAGGGUGCAGGAGACACGGUCUUCAUUGGAGUGGUUUGUGGGAAAAGUACAAGACAUGAUUAUCUAAAUACUUUGAGACGAUCUAUAGUGAAGGGUUCAAAUGAAUCAAGGUGAGAGGUUUAAAGAAGCUGAUCAGUUUUGCACUUCAUUGCCUUUGUCAUAUAAAAGUUUUAAUCUCUAUUCACCCACCAAAAAGGAGGAAUAGGAAAGAGAAUUGCAAAAGUGGAAGCUUUUUUACAUUUGCAUAAUGCCUGAUGCAGGCAUACGUUUAAGUACUUAGAGAGAGAUGAGACAAUGGUAGCUCACUUGGUGGGGGAAUUGAUGCAUUCAUAAAGCUGUCUCAAAGUUAGCUGCUAUCAAAAUCUCUAUUCAAUGUUGUAUAUACUUUCUAAAAUUUGAAGUCUAUGUUCCAAAUUCUGAGGAAAUCAUUGGUAGAGAUAUCACCGGGAUCGGAUCUCGGUACAAUAUACAUCUCAACACCUGUGGAGAAAUGUUAGUUAUGUUUCUGUUAGUAGCUUUUGUACUAGUGUAAUUUUUAUUACAAAAAUCAGUCAUGUAGGGUGCCUAGUGAUUUGAUUAUGAUAAUUGAUUUCCACGGUAAGAUGUACAAGUUUGGGUACUCCAGGACCAGAUCUCCAUUGCAGUGAUGUGGAAAGUUCAAGGAAAACGUUGUCAAGGGUCAUAAAUAUUGUGAAAGAAUUAACUCUAGCAUUUGUUUUUAAUUUACACUAGAUCUUCUGUCUGCUCGUGAGUAACGGGUUUUGCUUGUUUUCAUGACUUUUUCUUUAAAUUUAUCAUCACUAUUCACAAUGAUAUAUAUGAAUGAUAAUUAAAGAUAUAUUAAAAGAUAAUGACAAGAAAGUAUUGAGUUGUUCAGCUUUAAUUAUUUGGCACAGGCAAUGAGUCAAUGAGGGCAAAUGCUAUUGGCAGUUGUGUUGUGCUCAACCAUGGAGGAGGUUGCGCGGUAGACAAGAUGCUCAUGGAGUUUGCUUCACCGUCAAUAAUCCAUAUGAUACUUCUAUUUGUUGUUAUCCUCGUUAAUUCAUUUUUAAUUUUAUUAUUAUUUAUCUUUUUAAAAAUUGAUUUUACUAGAAUUCUGAUCAAUUUUGCUUUUCUAAUUUAAAUACUGUCUUUUAUGGUUUCUUUAUGCCUUGUAUAUUGGUGCACAGUAUGAUGCAUUUAACUUGAUAUACAUAAGAUGCACAAUAUGAUACAUUUAAUUUGAUAUUGCAUUACAGGUAGAAGACUUUAGGCAGCAGGGAACUAAGAUGAGAAGAAAGAUGUGGCUUCAGAAUAUGAAGAUAAAAUUGAUUGUUUUGGGUAUCCUUAUUGCCCUGAUUCUUAUCAUUGUGCUGUCAGUCUGCCACGGCUUCAAAUGUUAAUCUGUCUUGGAUUUCCCUCGUACCGCUCUUGCUGCCAGGGAUGUCUUGAUAGAUUGGUUUGUCUUACUUGUUUUUUUAGGGCAUAUAUUUCUCCCUUUGCUUGCGGUUUAGGAUAGGGGGAGGCUUUGUAUCUUGGUUGGCUGUAUAGGUUAUAGUUUGAACUUGUUACGGUAGAUAAAAAUUUCUAUGGAGGAUUUCUUCUUUAUACUGUGAUGGGGGUAUACUCGGAUUCCUGCAUAUCAUAUUUGUCCUUUUGAAAUGUUAUUAAUCUGUUUUUUUGGUUUUUGUCGCUUAUCAUGUAAAUCCUUUUGUAUGCAUUUCUCUUUUAGACGUAAGAGGAGACAGUUGGUUUUGUAAAAUUUUUUAAUGCUUAGGAGCCUAUGGUUGCAUGAGUAGCUCGGUGUCUUUGCCUUCCGCAGAGAAGGUCUUCAGCUCUAAUGAUUAGAGCGAUGUGUAUGAUUGAUUUUCCCCGCUCCCCUUGAAGUCUUGUUUUGAGGAUCUAUUCUUUCUCCAGAGAGAAAUUUGGGGAAUAAGUAAAGAAUUUUGAUGAAGGGUUGUUUUGUCAAAAAAUAAAAAACUAGUUUGACUACGAAACAAAUCGAAUUUUAUACGGUAGUUGGUUCUUUUUCGAUUUUACAUUAUUCCAAUAAAAGGAGUUAGCAUAUUUUUGCUUGAAAACAAUCCAAUUUGAGUUUCUAACCUUAAAUCGAGUUUGAGCAAUGAAAAUUAAUGUCUACAUGAACAGAUUAUAAUAUGUGAACAACUGUAGCAAUGAUGUGUUUUGUGCAUAAUAUGUUGAGAUUAGAUCCCACUAUUAGAAAAACUAAUGUCUAACUCAAAUUUUAACAUUUUGAAAUUCUUUCAAUAUUAAAUACUUGAAAACCUUAUGUCCGUUGUUGGCUGGAUCGUCUUUGUCCCAUUAUCCUCUCUAACCCAUCCUUUUUACGUGUUUUAAAAUUAUAAAUAAUAUAUAUAUAUAUAUUUAUAUAUUGUAAAACAAAAAAAUUAUAAUAAUUAAUAUUUUAUAAAUGAAAAUAAAAGAUUACAAAAGUAAUCUGUUAUAACAAUUAAAUAUCUUUAAUUAUAAUUAUUCUCAAUCAUAAUUUCUUAUUGCAGUCAAUACCCAAUUGAAUUUUGGUUCAAGUAAGAAAGAUAAGAUGCAUUUUGAAUAGAAAUUUUAAAUUCAAAUCAUAGAGAUCAUCACGAAAAAAAGAAAAAAAUAAAAAUUUCGUAUAGUUUACAGAGAAAUCCCAGCAAAGAAUAUGACGUCGUUUAUUUUUAAUCACUUGCAAUGAGUGAAAUGACGUCGUUUCCUUCUUGAAGCUUAUUUCUCUCCUACCACACGGUGUCGUUUUAUCAAGUGAUAAAAGCAUCCCUUGAAACCUCAGCCUGCUUCUUUUUCCCCGCUUGUCUGGCUAGGACUCUUACCGAGCCGCACCACCUCUCUUCCACGAUGGUUCCUGGGUUUCUCUCCCGGCCUUCCGUUCUCGAGCCGCAACUCCUGAUCACUUGCUUUAGCUUACUUUAGACGCUAACCAAACAAGAUAGCUUUUUUUCAACGCCAAAUUGCCCAACACUCUAAAAACCGUUCCCUUAUCUCACAAAUCUUAGAUCUCAGAUUUCAGAUAUCAAAUAUCAGAUCGUUUCUUACUUUCCUUGAAGAAAUUGUGUUGUGAUGGCCGAUUUUCGUCUUCAAGGUAUUUGUCAAUCUCAAUUCACAGAGAUUGCUGCUGAAAGAGCUAAAGUAGCUGCGGAAGAAUAUUUCAAGUUGGGAAACAUCGACAGGGCUAUUCAGCAAGGGUUCGCAGCACUCGAUUUGAACCCCAAUUUACGGAUCGUGCAGAAGUACAUUGCCGCCUAUUUGAUUCACAAGUUUGCUUCUAUGUUAAGUCUUUGCCAGAAAAUGAAGGUAGACGAUACCAAAGUUCUGUACUCCAUUCUUUUUAUCGAAGAUUGUUCUGCCGUAGUUGAUGCUGCGACUAUUAGAAAACACUACAAAGAAGUGGUACUAUUGGUCCAUCCGGACAAGAAUGAUUCAGUUGCAGCAGAUGGUGCUUUCAAGAUCGUUCGUCAGGCUUGGGAAACUCUCUUAUCUGAUCACAACAAAAGAAGAAAGACUCUACGAAGAUGAAGUUCUUUGGUUUGGAUUAGAUUCAUUUUGAUAUGUAUUCAAAUUUUUUAUGAAUAAUAUGUAGUUAGUUUUUAUUUUGUUCUGAUUUUGUUACUUUUCUUAGAUUCAAUUUGAUUUGAUUUUUAGUGUCAGUCCAAUUUCAUAAUUAAUCACAAUUAU